This 372-nucleotide ribosomal RNA is filed under the name uncultured organism. RNAcentral's name for it is "bacterial SSU rRNA". It matches the Rfam family "Bacterial small subunit ribosomal RNA", at positions 526 to 896 of the family's 1533-position model. The record is from RNAcentral.
CAGAGACUGCAAGCGUUAUUCGGAUUCACUGGGCGUAAAGGGUGCGCAGGCGGCCAAGUGUGUUAGGCGUGAAAGCCCGGAGCUUAACUCCGGAAUUGCACCUAAAACUACAUGGCUAGAGCAUUGGAGAGGGUAGCGGAAUUCACGGUGUAGCAGUGAAAUGCGUAGAUAUCGUGAGGAACACCAGAGGCGAAGGCGGCUACCUGGACAAUUGCUGACGCUCAGGCACGAAAGCGUGGGGAGCAAAAGGGAUUAGAUACCCCUGUAGUCCACGCCCUAAACGGUGCACACUAGGUCUUGGCGGAUUCGACCCCACCAGGGCCCAAGCUAACGCGUUAAGUGUGCCGCCUGAGGACUACGGUCGCAAGACUA